UGUGGAAAGAUAUUGUGUAAAUUUGGUUUUAUCAUGAAAUAUCUUGGUUUCUCCAUCUAAGGUAAUUGAGAGUUUUGCUGGGUAUAGUAAUCUGGGUUGCCAUUUGUGUUCUCUUAGGGUCUGCAAGAACACUAUCCAUACAUAACAUAUUCUUCUUUUUUCUCUUUGUUUAUUUUAUUUUAAUAAAUUUUAUUUAAUUUGUCUUUUGAUGGUUUCCUACAUAUAUGCAGUAUAGUUUGGUGAUAGUCAUCUCCUAUCUUCUUUCCACCACUAUAUUCUUCACCUCUACAAGCCCUUUUCACAGGUUCAUGUUUGCUUUGUUUUGUAACUCACUGUUCCCUUCCUAGACUCCAAAAGUAGCUUAUAGUUCAACAGGAAAACAGUAGAGCCACCCGGCUCUAUCUAUAUCUAUGAUUGACUUUUGAUAGACCAACCUUGUGCAGGCUCAUUGCAGGCAAUCCUUGCCUCAAUGAGGCCAUGAUUGCAUAGGCUGUGUCAUACUUACAGGAUAGCAUUUCAUCUACUCUCACUCUCUUCUCUUAUGCAUUGUUCUCUUAGACACAUGUCUUAGUCAGGGUUUCUAUUCCUGCACAAAACGUCAUGAUCAAGCAGCAAGUUGGAGAGGAAAGGGUUUUUUCAGCUUAUACUUUCCACAUUGCUCUUCGUCACCAAAGGAAGUCAGGACUAGAACUCAAGCACUUCAGGAAGCAGGAGUUGAUGCAGAGGCCAUGGAGGGAUGUUCCUUACUGGCUUGCUUCCCCUGGUUUGCUCAGCUUCCUUUCUUAUAGAACCCGGGCACAAAGUGUUCUUAGGGUCAAAGCAUUCAUUCUGUUCAAUUCAGCCCCAAGGAAAAAAUGGUAGUGAGUAUGCCUGACUCUUCAAGGUUCUGAUAUGUGCAUGGUGACAGUCAUUAUUUUGUUUCUGUUGUGAUAAAAUAAAAACAACUGAAAGGAGGAAAGGGUUUGGGUUCUUUGUUAUUGUUAUUGUUGUUUGCUUAUUUGUUUGUUUGUUUUUUGUUUCUCCCAGAUCUCAGUUCCUACAUCGCUGCAGGGAAGUCACAGAAAGUGUGAAGUUAAGGCAAUUGUUCACAUCACAUGUAUAUUUAGGAAUGGGAGAAAGACAUAUGUGAAUGCCUGUGUUCAGCUCACCUUCUCCAUCUUAUUCAUUUCAGGAUUCCCUGCCUAGUGAGUUGUGCUACUCAAAGUGGGAGAUUCUUUCUACUUUAAUUAAUAUAAUAAUGAUAAUAUACUAUAGAUAUGUCAUCUAUAUCUUGACAAUGGCUCAUCAAAACUUUUUCCAGAUGAUUCAACAUUCUGUCAAUAAUUAAAACUAACCAUCAGAGUGGCCUAGUGAAGGAAGGACAGGAAACAACUCCUGGUUAUGAGGAGUCACCCCUGAGACAGGGACUUCACAGAAACUAAAAAUCUUGUUAGGAACAAAGCGCAUUCAGUAGGUAAUUUUGAAGACAGCAUUACUACUUUCAGCAAGUAAGGAUUGGACUAAGUUGUGCCUCCCUCACCAACCAAAGCAGGGGGACUUUCAUGUAGGAAAACACAUGGCCUACUCAUUAUCACAUACAGAGGUGGGGUUGCAUCAUACUUUCAGGCAAAAACUUUGGUUCUGGAAGUGUCAAAAACUAGGCUUGACCAUUUGUCCCAAUCUGCCAAUUAAAGAUACGUUAUGAUGAAGAGCAGAGAAAAAAGAAUCAGGCCAAGCUUGAUAAUAGAAGAGGAGGCUCAGUCAUCCUAUUGUCUGUCUUUGAGUACUCACAAGAGAGUUAAGUAUAAAGAGAUAGAGAACCUUGGAAGAGGGGAAAGAGACGUAACCAAGCCGUCUCCAUCAAGGUGUGAUCUUCUUGAUAAAACUUUGGUUCUGGUUCUGCCAAGGAACCAGAAGGGAAUUAUGAUCACAGUCGUAUCGUUAGUGCAAUGACUGGAAUUCCAUCUUUGUGCUUCCAGCCAUAGGAGCAAGUGUUUAACUCUAAAGAAAGAAAAGAGUGAUGAACCUCUGUUUCAGUAAGUCUAUUUUAGGCUUUUUGCUAAAAGUGUGUGUCAAGGUGACUCUGGGGGUUUAGAUAGAUUCUUUGAAAGUUUCUCCAGUUGUUCUUACACUAUUCUGGCAAGAAUGAUGGCAUCCUAAAGACAGAAUACUGACAUUCCCUUGUGCUAUCUAGAAUUUCAUAAGGAAUCUUACAUUAGGAACAGGAAAAAAGAUGAGCUCUCUGUGUCAACAAGAGGAGAAGCUUGUUUCUAGGGAGAACUUUCACACAGUCCUG
Molecule: long non-coding RNA, 2275 nt
Filed under: Mus musculus (house mouse)
Lineage: Eukaryota; Metazoa; Chordata; Mammalia; Rodentia; Muridae
Description: long non-coding RNA chr17:58617494-58619769
Source: RNAcentral